Molecule: ribosomal RNA, 177 nt
Filed under: uncultured Ralstonia sp.
Lineage: Bacteria; Pseudomonadati; Pseudomonadota; Betaproteobacteria; Burkholderiales; Burkholderiaceae
Description: partial 16S ribosomal RNA
Rfam family: Bacterial small subunit ribosomal RNA
Source: RNAcentral
UGGGGAAUUUUGGACAAUGGGGGCAACCCUGAUCCAGCAAUGCCGCGUGUGUGAAGAAGGCCUUCGGGUUGUAAAGCACUUUUGUUCGGAAAGAAAUCGCUCCGGCUAAUACCUGGAGUGGAUGACGGUACCGGAAGAAUAAGCACCGGCUAACUACGUGCCAGCAGCCGCGGUAAU